RNAcentral lists this ribosomal RNA (413 nucleotides) under Agrobacterium sp. Ma26. RNAcentral's name for it is "bacterial SSU rRNA". It matches the Rfam family "Bacterial small subunit ribosomal RNA", at positions 959 to 1369 of the family's 1533-position model. The record is from RNAcentral. Lineage: Bacteria; Pseudomonadati; Pseudomonadota; Alphaproteobacteria; Hyphomicrobiales; Rhizobiaceae.
ACGCGAAAGGAAACUACCAGCUCUUGACAUUCGGGGUAUGGGCAUUGGAGACGAUGUCCUUCAGUUAGGCUGGCCCCAGAACAGGUGCUGCAUGGCUGUCGUCAGCUCGUGUCGUGAGAUGUUGGGUUAAGUCCCGCAACGAGCGCAACCCUCGCCCUUAGUUGCCAGCAUUGAGUUGGGCACUCUAAGGGGACUGCCGGUGAUAAGCCGAGAGGAAGGUGGGGAUGACGUCAAGUCCUCAUGGCCCUUACGGGCUGGGCUACACACGUGCUACAAUGGUGGUGACAGUGGGCAGCGAGACAGCGAUGUCGAGCUAAUCUCCAAAAGCCAUCUCAGUUCGGAUUGCACUCUGCAACUCGAGUGCAUGAAGUUGGAAUCGCUAGUAAUCGCAGAUCAGCAUGAUGCGGGAAUAC